This 538-nucleotide unclassified non-coding RNA is filed under the name Hevea brasiliensis (rubber tree). The record is from RNAcentral. Lineage: Eukaryota; Viridiplantae; Streptophyta; Magnoliopsida; Malpighiales; Euphorbiaceae.
CAAAAAUCCAUAAAAUUAUAAAUCCAUAACACAUAAAAGAUUAAAUUAUAAAUCCAAACACAACAUAUUAAGUCAUUAAAUCCACUGUCUAGUGUCUACACACAGGACAUAGCACAUUAUUGCAUAAAAAAUCCAUUGCCCAUUGUCCACACACUACUAUCACAACAUUACCACAUAAAGUCCGCGCAUUAAAAUAAAACACAACACAUUACAUAAAGUCCAUAAUGGAUUGAAAUCCAUACUACAUAAAAAUAGACCACCACACAACACCACACAAUAAAAUAUAAAGCUAGUUACAGAACAUGCAAAACACAUCAUCGUUAGAGGAGAAGUCUAACAUUUUGAGCCUAUUUGAAACAUGCACAAAAAAGGACAAAAAUGAGCACAAAAAAGGACAAAAAUGACUAAGUCAUCAUUCAAGAAAAAUAAAACCAAACAUAAAGCAAUACUACAUUUUCAACAAUUAAACUUACAUGUGAGACUAGGAGGUAGGAUUAGAACAUGAUAUUGCUAAACGAUGGGUAAUUCCAAUAGGUGG